This 329-nucleotide ribosomal RNA is filed under the name uncultured eukaryote. RNAcentral describes it as "partial 18S ribosomal RNA". It matches the Rfam family "Eukaryotic small subunit ribosomal RNA", at positions 1470 to 1796 of the family's 1831-position model. The record is from RNAcentral.
CCCUUAGAUGUUCUGGGCCGCACGCGCGCUACACUGAUGCAUUCAACGAGUCUAAAACCUGCUCUGAUAGGGGUGGGUAAUCUUUUGAAUGUGCAUCGUGAUUGGGAUAGAUGAUUGCAAUUUUUCAUCUUCAACGAGGAAUGCCUAGUAAACGCAAGUCAUCAGCUUGCAUUGAUUACGUCCCUGCCCUUUGUACACACCGCCCGUCGCUCCUACCGAUUGAAUGAUCCGAUGAAUAUCGUGGACUGAGGGUGUAAGCAGGUUCGCCUGUCUUGAUCUUCGGGAAGCGAAGUAAAUCUUAUCAUUUAGAGGAAGGAGAAGUCGUAACA